This 274-nucleotide ribosomal RNA is filed under the name uncultured bacterium. RNAcentral's name for it is "partial 16S ribosomal RNA". It matches the Rfam family "Bacterial small subunit ribosomal RNA", at positions 523 to 796 of the family's 1533-position model. The record is from RNAcentral.
AUACGGAGGGAGCAAGCGUUAUUCGGAAUCACUGGGCGUAAAGGACGCGUAGGCGGGUUUGUAAGUCAGGUGUGGAAUCCUACAGCUCAACUGUAGAACUGCACUUGAAACUACAGACCUAGAGUAUGGAAGGGGCAGAUGGAAUUAGUGGUGUAGGGGUAAAAUCCGUAGAUAUCACUAGGAAUACCGAAAGCGAAGGCGAUCUGCUGGGACAUUACUGACGCUGAGGCGUGAAAGCGUGGGGAGCAAACAGGAUUAGAAACCCUAGUAGUCC